CAUGGUUCGAAAUUGAAAGGCGGCUUCGGCUGUCACUUAUGGAUGGACCCGCGUCGCAUUAGCUAGUUGGUGAGGUAACGGCUCACCAAGGCAACGAUGCGUAGCCGACCUGAGAGGGUGAUCGGCCACACUGGGACUGAGACACGGCCCAGACUCCUACGGGAGGCAGCAGUAGGGAAUCUUCCGCAAUGGACGAAAGUCUGACGGAGCAACGCCGCGUGAGUGAUGAAGGCUUUCGGGUCGUAAAACUCUGUUGUUAGGGAAGAACAAGUGCUAGUUGAAUAAGCUGGCACCUUGACGGUACCUAACCAGAAAGCCACGGCUAACUACGUGCCAGCAGCCGCGGUAAUACGUAGGUGGCAAGCGUUAUCCGGAAUUAUUGGGCGUAAAGCGCGCGCAGGUGGUUUCUUAAGUCUGAUGUGAAAGCCCACGGCUCAACCGUGGAGGGUCAUUGGAAACUGGGAGACUUGAGUGCAGAAGAGGAAAGUGGAAUUCCAUGUGUAGCGGUGAAAUGCGUAG
RNAcentral lists this ribosomal RNA (519 nucleotides) under Bacillus cereus. RNAcentral describes it as "bacterial SSU rRNA". It matches the Rfam family "Bacterial small subunit ribosomal RNA", at positions 188 to 693 of the family's 1533-position model. Lineage: Bacteria; Bacillati; Bacillota; Bacilli; Caryophanales; Bacillaceae. The record is from RNAcentral.